GGGCGUGUAACUCAGUGGUAGAGUGCUCGCUUUGCAUCUUUCCAGGCGCUAAAUUGCGAGAAGCCCAGGGUUCGACUCCCUGCUCGUCCA
Molecule: non-coding RNA, 90 nt
Organism: Hypoxylon sp. FL0890
Lineage: Eukaryota; Fungi; Ascomycota; Sordariomycetes; Xylariales; Hypoxylaceae
Source: the annotation of a GenBank genome assembly